AUGGGGAUCGCCAUGGUUGGGAAAGAACAGAGUCGGCAGCAAAUUUUCCCUCCAUUUAUUUCUAAUCCUGGUUUUGGUAUUUGUUGGCACUAACUGGACCAGCAACGUGCCAUAUAUUCAUUCUGUACACGAAGUGUCUACUAAGACAAAAAAAAAUCAGAUUCACAAAUCGGGGUCAUUGGAUUCACGAACCAACCGACGGAUUCAUGGGAAGUGGCGAAUCGAGCGAACCUGGCAAUUAUGAUUCCCAGGCUAUUUAACUUCUCAAAACUAUUCCAGGAAGAGGUUGAUAAUAAAUUUCCAAGAAAUAUUCUAUUGUUCGGAAGUUUCAAGAUGUCCUGUUUGAAAAUCAAUGAAUUUGAAUUUGAUCAACAUCUUGUUGUAAGCCAAGUUUAGCCAUGUAUAUCCUAGGAAUAAGAUUUUUUUUCCCCAUUUUCUGUGGAAGGCCGAUCAGACAGCUUGAAAAGAUGAUCCAUUUGAACUAGUUCCCAGAUGGGGGGCUGAGUUAGGAUAUGCGCCGAAAAAACUUAACAAAGGGAUAUCAGAACUGCUGAAGAAUUUAUGAAGAGAUAGCAACCACAUUUUAUUUCCCUCUUAAUAUUUUUAUAUUUUUCUGGCUAUGCAUUUCCUGCAAGUUUAAGAUGCCAUCACUUCAAUGGUAUUGUAGAACUUUGAUUUGGAAGUAUGACUUAUUUAUUGUUUGGGCUUGCUUGUUUGACAAUUAUAGUUGAAUGAUUACGCCAUGGCAACAUGUGAAAAUAUCUGUGCUUGUCCUAGAGAAUUGCAUCUUCCCCGAUUAGCAAGCCGAAACAUUUUUUGAGAAUAUAAACAAUGCACUUUUUACCUACAUAUUUUAAGUGGCCUGCCUUUUCUCUGAAGUGAGUUGCAUUCAUUACAAAUCUCUUAAUCAGGUGGUGCAGUUCUACUACUGGAAAGCACCUGAGUUGGCAGCAAGGAGAAAACAGACUGCUGGUGGUUCAGAAACAGUUUGCAAUCAUACUAUACAAAUACAACAAUCAAGAGGAAUGAAACUACCAUUGCCGUGCGACCAUGGCCUUGCACAAACCAUAUUUGGAUCUUAUGACAAUAUGGAGUUUGCUUUUGAAUGGAGCGAUUUUGUGUUAGCAGUUGCUAUGUGGGAGAGUUAUUCAGAAGAAUUGAAGAGAAAGUUGUCAACAUUUCUGCCCUUUUGGCUGUCCAAUGAAACAAUUUUUGUUGUUAAUUCCUCCGAAACCCAGGUAUAUUGUGAAGGGAAUUCAGCACUGACCUGAUGAUAUGGAAAUAUAGCAUAACGAUAACAUAAAUAUGACGUUAUCUAGCAUUAAUCCAACAAAUCUUUGGAGAGUCUUGGAUUUAAAUGUUAGCUCUUACCUGUUCUAUUUUGAAGAACGUUCUAUAUGAGUCGUCAGUUACCUUGCAAGCAGGUUAUAUUUACUUUUUGCCUGCGUUUUCACAAGUGUAAAUUUAGUAUACUAUUUAUAGUUUUCAUGCCUGAUGUAAUAGUUUUUAGUACUUCUUUCACUCUUAAUAGUCUUGCACUCUUGUUGAAUCCUUACCAAUAUGCAAAGGUGACUACUUAGUUUAUAUGCCAUCUCUCUAAAUGUGUAUCACAUAAGUAAAUCCCUGUGACUGUUUUAUCCAUCAGAAGUUCAGAACCAAUGAAUGAACACCAACAUACUUGUACAGAAUUCACAGCCAGUCUAAUAUUUAUUCAGCAGCGAACCACACACCAUAAUUAAUGCCAAUCUAUUUCCUUCUCCACUGUUACCACAGUAGCACAUUCAAUUUUUUACAAAUAGCAUAGCCGAGCUAAUUCUCUGCCAUGGUCUGCAUCUGCCUCAUUUUUCAGUGACAUAGAUGGAGGGCUGGAGGUGGCUUAUUUUACUUGAGCUCCACUGGUACAAGAUGUUCCCAGAAACAUCAUAAAAGAUGAAGUCAGCUUGGUCCUGGUUUAGCUGGAGGGACAUGAACCCUUGUCCAUCAUAAAAGAACUGGAGAUUAUCAUCAUUUGGCUGGUAGACCCCUCGCCAUGCUUUUGAACCACCUCCACUAGUGAAGUAUUGGAUUGGACUGGAACAACAGAUGCGGUUGCAUUAAGGUUAGACAACUUCCCGUGCAUGUUCUACUCUAAAAAGAACGAUUUAUAUCAAACGAUGUUAACCUGUCUUUACUGCUAAUGUGUUCCAGGCAGUGGUCGUGCCCAUUGAUAUAGAAGUCAAUGCCGUUAACCUGGAAUGGCAUGAAAGUAUCAUAAAAAGAUCAUUUGUCUGGACUUUUUAAACUAAUAGUGAGGCUACUUGAAUAAACCUUGAGGACGGGAAGAAGCAAUUGCAGUAGCUCCUUGGUGUCCCCGUGGUCACUGACACUCCUCAUG
Molecule: long non-coding RNA, 2374 nt
Filed under: Brachypodium distachyon (stiff brome)
Lineage: Eukaryota; Viridiplantae; Streptophyta; Magnoliopsida; Poales; Poaceae
Description: long non-coding RNA (BDIS_LNC001405)
Source: RNAcentral